Long non-coding RNA from Bombyx mori (domestic silkworm), 1917 nucleotides. RefSeq lists it as uncharacterized. The transcript has 3 exons. The record is from RefSeq and is a predicted model, not a curated record. Lineage: Eukaryota; Metazoa; Arthropoda; Insecta; Lepidoptera; Bombycidae.
GUUUUCAAAAUGUCGUAACGAUUUAAUUUUUUAAAUCGUUUUUUUUUUGUCUUGGUGUGAGUUAUUUUACGUUGUAGUAUUAAUUUAGAGCAUCUUUUAGCUUUAUGAGAAUAUUAGACGAUUAGACAUUGAGAAACUCUGUUUUGAAUUCUCUUUAGACAUAACUUGGCUCCAAUACUUUUUUCUUCGUUAGCGUUUCGUAAGCCUGUGUAACUAUUUUCAUUUCUUACAGAAAGUUUAUUAUUAAAAAUCAGCAUGCCUCGAAGAUCGAAAAUGAAAUGCUAUUUCGGAUGCCUUGAUAACGACAAAGGUUUGAUAAUGACAAAAUUUUAUGGAAAAAUUAUAAGGAGCACUAAAAUGUCUGAAACAUGAAAAGAUUGAUGCACUAUAUUUGAACCAGAACGUGUUAUGUAAUAUAUUAAUUUAAGAGAAACUGAUUCAGCAAGGAACGUGAACUCUCAAGGAUCUUAAUUUUUUUUAAAUAUGUUUAUAAUUUAUAAAUUAAUAAUUGAAAUAGUUCAUAAGAACUAAAUUGAUGCCAAUUUUGUUUUAAAAUAGGUUGCUUAGUUCUUAUAGUUAUAGUAUUACGUUUGAAUAGUUGUAAUUAGUAAGUUAGUAAUAUAUGAAAAUACUGAUAUAAAUUUUUGUAAAUAACCUUUUGUAAAUUCUACGAGAAGACGAUUUUAAUUAAUGAUCAAAAGUCAACAGUCUUCAAAAGCAUUAUUUGCAAUUAUUUAGAUUAACUGUGGAAUAUAUUUGCUAAGUUGUGUUUUCUGUAUGAGCAGAUAUAAAUGAAAAUGCCCAAACAUGAUUAUGUUUCUUACAUUUUCAUUAUGUGAAAUCAAUAUGCUUGUGACUGAGUAUAUUAAUAAUUUAUUAAAACUUCAGUGAUAGACAGCAACCCUUAUGGCACUGCUGAAGUUUAUAAGCACUGGUGACCACUUAUCAUGAGCCGGGUUGCGUGCUCGUCUGCUGUUGAGUGCAAUAAAAUUUUUCGAAACCCUUUCUAUUAUUUAGAUGUAAUAUUAAUGUACAUUUUAUUUGGAUUAAAAGAUAAAUUUACAUUUUAUGUUUGCAUGUGUAUGUUUAUAAUUCAUUUGCAUGUAACGAACAUCAGUUUCUUUUGUAACAAAAUGCCAAACUAAUGGUUUGUAAUGAAUGUAAUUAACUUUAAGAUGAUUUUCUUUCAAUCUGCUGUUUGUUUCAUCUAGUAUUACCAAAGCUAAAGCAUCAGAAACGUCAGAAUAGAAAUAAUUUAGAUAGGGAAUAAAAGUAUAACUAAUGUAAUCAUAUCUAAAAUUACUAUAAGCGUCAUUAAGUACAAACUAUCAAUAUUUAAGAGUACUUUAAAUCAUCAUUACAUUUUUUAAACAUUUUUUGUUUUUUUUUGUUGUGCAGAACAAAAUGUCACAUGUUAUGAACAUGAUUGUGGGUUAAUCGUUUCUUAAAUUUCUAAAUAUUUAUAAGAAUGCUAAGAUUAAUUUAGUAUUCACUUUAGUGUGUGUAUUAUCUCUACAAUGCUAGUUUAAAUGACAAUUAUUGUAUGACGAAGCAUAGGUAGUGUUUAUAGAUGUAAUAUUUUCAUACAAGGUCAUGAUCUGUCACGAUCAACUUUAAGCAAGAACUGCUAUCGUUAAGAAACAAAUUUAUUAAAUUUAAUUCACAUUGUCUACUAUGUUUGUAAUGGAAAGCUGACAUGUUUAUAUUUCGCACAAAUGACUUAAUUGACAUUGAAUGAUUUGAUUAUCUAGACUUAUUUAACUUUUAGAUAACUUUCGAUUUAAUGUUAAUAAGUACGCUAGUAGGAUUAAUCUAGAGGAGUUAUUGUUAUUCGAAAUUUUAUACAAUUGUACGUUCAUACAAUCUUUUAACAGAAAAUUGUUUGUAAUAUAGGGAAAUUAAAUAGCUUACAGAGAA